GCUAGGAUUAACGCUGGCGGCGUGCCUAAUACAUGCAAGUCGAAUGGUAGCAAUACCAUGGCGAACGGGUGAGUAACACGUAGGUAACCUGUCUUUAAGCCGAGGAUAACCAUUGGAAACGAUGGAUAAUACUGGAUAGGACAUUUGAAGGCAUCUUUAGAUGUUUAAAGAUUUAUCACUUAGAGAGGGGCCUGCGGCGCAUUAGCUAGUUGGUGAGGUGAAGGCUUACCAAGGCGAUGAUGCGUAGCCGGACUGAGAGGUUGAACGGCCACAAUGGAACUGAGAACGGUCCAUACUCCUACGGGAGGCAGCAGUAGGGAAUUUUCGGCAAUGGGCGGAAGCCUGAACCCGAGCAACGCCGCGUGAACGAAGAAGUAUUUCGGUAUGUAAAGUUCUUUUAUUAGGGACGAAAAGACAGAUUGACGGUACCUAAUGAAUAAGCUCCGGCUAACUACGUGCCAGCAGCUGC
This 469-nucleotide ribosomal RNA is filed under the name uncultured bacterium. Its description in RNAcentral is "bacterial SSU rRNA". It matches the Rfam family "Bacterial small subunit ribosomal RNA", at positions 26 to 518 of the family's 1533-position model. The record is from RNAcentral.